RNAcentral lists this ribosomal RNA (847 nucleotides) under Alexandrium tamarense. RNAcentral describes it as "LSU rRNA". It matches the Rfam family "Eukaryotic large subunit ribosomal RNA", at positions 1 to 799 of the family's 3401-position model. Lineage: Eukaryota; Dinophyceae; Gonyaulacales; Pyrocystaceae. The record is from RNAcentral.
GCUUAGCAUGAAGUGAAGCACAUACACCUGCUGAAUUUAAGCAUAUAAGUAAGUGGUGGAAAUUAAACCAAAUGGGAUAUCUUUAGUAAUUGCGAAUGAACAAGGAUAUGCUUAGCUUGACAAAUGGAGCUAUUGGCUUUGAAUUGUAUUGUGGAAAUGUAUUACCAACAGAGGUGCAGGUGCCAGCCUAUUGAAAUAAAGCGUCAAUGAGGGUGAGAAUCCUGUUUGUCAUGUGCAGCCCUUUGUGCACGGUGUAUAUUUGCUGAGUCACACUCCUUGGCAUUGGAAUGCAAAGUGGGUGGUAAGUUUCAUGUAAAGGUAAACAUGCAAUUGAGACUGAUAGCACACAAGUACCAUGAGGGAAAUAUGAAAAGGACUUUGAAAAGAGAAUUAAAUGAGUUUGUAUUUGCUGAACACAAAGUAAACAGACUUGAUUUGCUUGGUGGGAGUGUUGCACUUGCUUGACAAGAGCUUUGGGCUGUGGGUGUAAUGAUUCUUUCUUUGCAUGCCAGUUUCUAUUUGUACAUCUGAUUACCUUUGCACAUGAAUGAUAAGUCUCCUGUGGGGGGUGGAUUGCAUGUGCAUGUAAUGAUUUGUGUUUUGAUACAUGUGUCUGGUGUAUGUGUGUGUGUUCCUGUGCUUGGGGAUGCUUCCUUCCUUGGACUUACAAGCCCUGACACACACAUGCUGGCAAAAUGCUUCUGCUUGACCCGUCUUGAAACACGGACCAAGGAGUCUAACAGAUGUGCAAAGUUUGAAGGUGGUAUACCUUUGUGUGCAAUGAAAGUGUCAGCUGGGAUAUGUGCACCAGCACCCAAUUAAUUAGCGGACAGAGGUUUGAGUUGGA